RNAcentral lists this long non-coding RNA (245 nucleotides) under Lathyrus oleraceus (garden pea). RNAcentral describes it as "Pisum sativum (pea) long non-coding RNA (PSAT_LNC011900)". The record is from RNAcentral. Lineage: Eukaryota; Viridiplantae; Streptophyta; Magnoliopsida; Fabales; Fabaceae.
GCCAUUUUGGAAGAAGAUGAAGAGGAUUCUGGAAAUUUCGUCAUCCCUGGAGGGGUCUGCAAUAAUUGGGUCGCUGUGGAUAUUCCAACAGUUAUCCAUAAGUCAAAGUAAUGAUCAUUAUGUUUGAAAACCCUUCUCCCAUGCCAAAAGGAGAAGUGAUGACAUUGUUGGCACAUAAAUACAAUGGUGUUUUCAUUCAAUAAAUUCAUGUUAAAUGUUUGUUUUUCCAAUUAUUUUCCUUUUUU